This 1300-nucleotide ribosomal RNA is filed under the name Salmonella enterica subsp. enterica serovar Typhimurium. RNAcentral's name for it is "partial 23S ribosomal RNA". It matches the Rfam family "Bacterial large subunit ribosomal RNA", at positions 1660 to 2925 of the family's 2925-position model. Lineage: Bacteria; Pseudomonadati; Pseudomonadota; Gammaproteobacteria; Enterobacterales; Enterobacteriaceae. The record is from RNAcentral.
CAGGUGGUCAGGUAGAGAAUACCAAGGCGCUUGAGAGAACUCGGGUGAAGGAACUAGGCAAAAUGGUGCCGUAACUUCGGGAGAAGGCACGCUGACACGUAGGUGAAGUGAUUUACUCAUGGAGCUGAAGUCAGUCGAAGAUACCAGCUGGCUGCAACUGUUUAUUAAAAACACAGCACUGUGCAAACACGAAAGUGGACGUAUACGGUGUGACGCCUGCCCGGUGCCGGAAGGUUAAUUGAUGGGGUCAGCGUAAGCGAAGCUCCUGAUCGAAGCCCCGGUAAACGGCGGCCGUAACUAUAACGGUCCUAAGGUAGCGAAAUUCCUUGUCGGGUAAGUUCCGACCUGCACGAAUGGCGUAAUGAUGGCCAGGCUGUCUCCACCCGAGACUCAGUGAAAUUGAACUCGCUGUGAAGAUGCAGUGUACCCGCGGCAAGACGGAAAGACCCCGUGAACCUUUACUAUAGCUUGACACUGAACAUUGAGCCUUGAUGUGUAGGAUAGGUGGGAGGCUUUGAAGUGUGGACGCCAGUCUGCAUGGAGCCGACCUUGAAAUACCACCCUUUAAUGUUUGAUGUUCUAACGUGGACCCGUAAUCCGGGUUGCGGACAGUGUCUGGUGGGUAGUUUGACUGGGGCGGUCUCCUCCUAAAGAGUAACGGAGGAGCACGAAGGUUGGCUAAUCCUGGUCGGACAUCAGGAGGUUAGUGCAAUGGCAUAAGCCAGCUUGACUGCGAGCGUGACGGCGCGAGCAGGUGCGAAAGCAGGUCAUAGUGAUCCGGUGGUUCUGAAUGGAAGGGCCAUCGCUCAACGGAUAAAAGGUACUCCGGGGAUAACAGGCUGAUACCGCCCAAGAGUUCAUAUCGACGGCGGUGUUUGGCACCUCGAUGUCGGCUCAUCACAUCCUGGGGCUGAAGUAGGUCCCAAGGGUAUGGCUGUUCGCCAUUUAAAGUGGUACGCGAGCUGGGUUUAGAACGUCGUGAGACAGUUCGGUCCCUAUCUGCCGUGGGCGCUGGAGAACUGAGGGGGGCUGCUCCUAGUACGAGAGGACCGGAGUGGACGCAUCACUGGUGUUCGGGUUGUCAUGCCAAUGGCACUGCCCGGUAGCUAAAUGCGGAAGAGAUAAGUGCUGAAAGCAUCUAAGCACGAAACUUGCCCCGAGAUGAGUUCUCCCUGAGACUUAGAGUCUCCUGAAGGAACGUUGAAGACGACGACGUUGAUAGGCCGGGUGUGUAAGCGCAGCGAUGCGUUGAGCUAACCGGUACUAAUGAACCGUGAGGCUUAACCUUACAACGCCGAAG